UACGUAGGGGGCGAGCGUUGUCCGGAAUCAUUGGGCGUAAAGCGCGCGUAGGCGGCCCGGUAAGUCCGCUGUGAAAGUCCAGGGCUCAACCCUGGGAUGCCGGUGGAUACUGUCGGGCUCGAGUCCGGAAGAGGCGAGUGGAAUUCCUGGUGUAGCGGUGAAAUGCGCAGAUAUCAGGAGGAACACCGGUGGCGAAGGCGGCUAUCUGGACCGACAUUGACGCUGAGGCGCGAAAGCGUGGGGAGCAAACAGG
RNAcentral lists this ribosomal RNA (253 nucleotides) under uncultured bacterium. Its description in RNAcentral is "partial 16S ribosomal RNA". It matches the Rfam family "Bacterial small subunit ribosomal RNA", at positions 524 to 776 of the family's 1533-position model. The record is from RNAcentral.